This 513-nucleotide ribosomal RNA is filed under the name uncultured bacterium. RNAcentral's name for it is "bacterial SSU rRNA". It matches the Rfam family "Bacterial small subunit ribosomal RNA", at positions 8 to 518 of the family's 1533-position model. The record is from RNAcentral.
AGAGUUUGAUCCUGGCUUAGGAUGAACGCUAGCGGCAGGCCUAAUACAUGCAAGUCGAACGGUAAAUGCCCCUUCGGGGGUAUGAGAGUGGCGCACGGGUGCGUAACGCGUAUGCAACCCACCCGCUGUCGGGGGAUAGCCCGGAGAAAUUCGAAUUAAUACCCCAUGAGGAGUGCUUGAGGCAUCUCAGGCAUUUCAAAACUAAGGUGACGGCGGACGGGCAUGCGUGCCAUUAGAUAGUUGGCGGGGUAACGGCCCACCAAGUCGACGAUGGCUAGGGGAUCUGAGAGGACGGUCCCCCACACUGGUACUGAGACACGGACCAGACUCCUACGGGAGGCAGCAGUAAGGGAUAUUGGUCAAUGGGGGGAACCCUGAACCAGCCAAUGCCGCGUGAGGGAAUAAGGCCCUACGGGUCGUAAACCUCUUUUGCCGGGGGAUAAGGACAGUUACGUGUAGCUGUUUGAAGGUACCCGGAGAAUAAGCAUCGGCUAACUCCGUGCCAGCAGCGGC